This 317-nucleotide ribosomal RNA is filed under the name Oscillospiraceae bacterium. Its description in RNAcentral is "partial 23S ribosomal RNA". It matches the Rfam family "Bacterial large subunit ribosomal RNA", at positions 2611 to 2925 of the family's 2925-position model. Lineage: Bacteria; Bacillati; Bacillota; Clostridia; Eubacteriales; Oscillospiraceae. The record is from RNAcentral.
UCAGAACGUCGUGAGACAGUUCGGUCCCUAUCUGUCGUGGGCGCAGGAUAUUUGAGAGGAUCUGUCCUUAGUACGAGAGGACCGGGAUGGACGUACCUCUGGUGCAUCAGUUGUCAUGCCAAUGGCACAGCUGGGCAGCUAUGUGCGGAACGGAUAAACGCUGAAAGCAUCUAAGCGUGAAGCCGACUCCAAGAUUAGAUAUCCCAUAGCGUAAGCUAGUAAGACCCCUUGUAGACUACAAGGUUGAUAGGCUGCAUGUGUAAGCACGGUAACGUGUUCAGCUUGGCAGUACUAAUAGGUCGAGGGCUUGACCAUAA